UAAUACGUAGGGGGCAAGCGUUGUCCGGAUUUACUGGGCGUAAAGAGCGCGUAGGCGGAACGUUAAGUCCGGUUUGAAAGCCCCCGGCUCAACCGGGGAGAGUGGCUGGAAACUGGCGUUCUUGAGGGCGAUAGAGGAGUGUGGAAUUCCUGGUGUAGCGGUGAAAUGCGUAGAGAUCAGGAGGAACACCCGUGGCGAAGGCGGCACUCUGGAUCGGCCCUGACGCUGAGGCGCGAAAGCGUGGGGAGCGAACGGGAUUAGAUACCCCGGUAGUCCACGCCGUAAACGAUGGUCACUAGGUGUGUGCGGUAUCGACCCCGCACGUGCCGCAGCUAACGCAAUAAGUGACCCGCCUGGGGAGUACGGCCGCAAGGUUG
This 377-nucleotide ribosomal RNA is filed under the name uncultured bacterium. RNAcentral describes it as "bacterial SSU rRNA". It matches the Rfam family "Bacterial small subunit ribosomal RNA", at positions 521 to 896 of the family's 1533-position model. The record is from RNAcentral.